CCGGAGGAAGGUGGGGAUGACGUCAAGUCCUCAUGGCCCUUAUAGGUGGGGCUACACACGUCAUACAAUGGCCGGUACAGAGGGUAGCCAACCCGCGAGGGGGAGCCAAUCCCACAAAGCCGGUCGUAGUCCGGAUCGCAGUCUGCAACUCGACUGCGUGAAGUCGGAAUCGCUAGUAAUCGCGGAUCAGCAUGUCGCGGUGAAUACGUUCCCGGGUCUU
RNAcentral lists this ribosomal RNA (220 nucleotides) under uncultured Allobrachymonas sp. RNAcentral describes it as "uncultured Brachymonas sp. partial 16S ribosomal RNA". It matches the Rfam family "Bacterial small subunit ribosomal RNA", at positions 1163 to 1382 of the family's 1533-position model. Lineage: Bacteria; Pseudomonadati; Pseudomonadota; Betaproteobacteria; Burkholderiales; Comamonadaceae. The record is from RNAcentral.